UUCUUGGUCAUUUAGAGGAAGUAAAAGUCGUAACAAGGUUUCCGUAGGUGAACCUGCGGAAGGAUCAUUACAGUAUGAUUAAGGGGGGGUUGGAUGCUGGCCUGUGAGGGCAUGUGCGCGCUCCCCUGUUUGUCAAUACAUACACCUGUGCACCUAUGGCGAGUGCCUCCCGUUUGGAGCCGUUCGAUGUUGAACCCAUUCUUUUUGGGGGAGGCUUGGACCGGGGCGCUCCCUCUUUUCUUGUUACCCAUCUCAGCCUGUUAGAACGCAUGUCUAAGCUUUACGGAGCUGAAAAAAUAAAUAUAACUUUCAACAACGGAUCUCUUGGCUUUCGCAUCGAUGAAGAACGCCGCGAAAGUGCGAAACGUAAUGUGAAUUGCAGAAUUCAGUGAAUCAUCGAAUCUUUGAACGCAUCUUGCGCUCCUUGGUAUUCCGAGGAGCAUGCCUGUUUGAGUGUCGUGAAACCCUCUCGAUCUUCUCUCCUUUUCUUGAGGGAGUGGGGGUUGGAUUUGGACGCUUGCGGCGGUCUCUUUUGGCCGUCGCUCGUCUUUAAAUGUAUUAGCUUGGCCUCUGGAGUCGGUCCAACGACGGUGUGAUAAUUAAACGUCUCUGCGCCGUUCGGUCCGAUUCUGAUACGAGGUGGCUUCUAAUCGAUCUUCUUUGCAAUCUGACCUCAAAUCAGGUAGGACUACCCGCUGAACUUAAGCAUAUCAAUAAGNCGGAGGAA
This 727-nucleotide ribosomal RNA is filed under the name Ramaria sp. OSC 111765. Its description in RNAcentral is "eukaryotic LSU rRNA". The stretch from base 305 to 459 matches the Rfam family "5.8S ribosomal RNA". Lineage: Eukaryota; Fungi; Basidiomycota; Agaricomycetes; Gomphales; Gomphaceae. The record is from RNAcentral.